GUGAAUCAUCGAAUUUUUGAACGCAAAUUGCACUCCCUGGUAUUCCGGGGAGUAUGCCUGUUUGAGGGUCGUUAGAAUGAAAAAUCAAGGCGUCUCUCUUUUUUUUAGGGGUGAUCGCGUCGGAGUUGAUCCGUCUUUCAAGUGUUAAUUCAUGUCGAAUUAGCUUAAAAUUCAUCCGUCCUGUACUAUUAAAGCGUAUUUAAUAUCAAGUUUGAUUAAGAACUCGCUAUAACGUACCAUCGCAUGUAUUACGUUUG
RNAcentral lists this unclassified non-coding RNA (257 nucleotides) under Glomeraceae sp. RNAcentral describes it as "partial contains 5.8S ribosomal RNA and internal transcribed spacer 2". The stretch from base 1 to 71 matches the Rfam family "5.8S ribosomal RNA", at positions 84 to 154 of the family's 154-position model. Lineage: Eukaryota; Fungi; Glomeromycota; Glomeromycetes; Glomerales; Glomeraceae. The record is from RNAcentral.